This 73-nucleotide transfer RNA is filed under the name Ictidomys tridecemlineatus (thirteen-lined ground squirrel). RNAcentral's name for it is "Spermophilus tridecemlineatus (thirteen-lined ground squirrel) tRNA". It matches the Rfam family "tRNA". Rfam says of the family: Transfer RNA (tRNA) molecules are approximately 80 nucleotides in length. Their secondary structure includes four short double-helical elements and three loops (D, anti-codon, and T loops). Further hydrogen bonds mediate the characteristic L-shaped molecular structure. tRNAs have two regions of fundamental functional importance: the anti-codon, which is responsible for specific mRNA codon recognition, and the 3' end, to which the tRNAs corresponding amino acid is attached (by aminoacyl-tRNA synthetases). tRNAs cope with the degeneracy of the genetic code in two manners: having more than one tRNA (with a specific anti-codon) for a particular amino acid; and 'wobble' base-pairing, i.e. permitting non-standard base-pairing at the 3rd anti-codon position. Lineage: Eukaryota; Metazoa; Chordata; Mammalia; Rodentia; Sciuridae. The record is from Rfam by way of RNAcentral.
GGGAAUGUAACUUAGUUGGUACAGUGCUUGCCUUGCAUGCAUAAGGUCCUGGGUUCAAUGCCCAGCACCCCCA